UUGAUUUUUGGAUGUUUGUUUGCAUUCUUUAUUUUGUAAUAAUUACAUCAACUCCUUGUGAGUUGAGUGUUUGAUUUUUUUUUUCUAGUCUCUACUUGUAUUUUGUACUUGUGAGAGUAAAAGUUGUAGUUGUAUUGAUAGAUUUGGGUGCUAUGAUUCAUGUCUGGUUUGUUCAGGCAUGAGGCUUUUAUGCCGAAAUUCCUCUGGCCUUUUGUGGUAUGGAUUAACCCUAUGUGGUUACUAUACUUCCUUAUUUGUAUUACCCAUUUGUGGGCACUUGUAUUUAAUUCCUUGUG
RNAcentral lists this long non-coding RNA (296 nucleotides) under Prunus persica (peach). Its description in RNAcentral is "long non-coding RNA (PPER_LNC007091)". Lineage: Eukaryota; Viridiplantae; Streptophyta; Magnoliopsida; Rosales; Rosaceae. The record is from RNAcentral.